AGGGUUCGAUUCUGGCUCAGGAUGAACGCUAGCUACAGGCUUACACAUGCAAGUCGAGGGGCAGCAUUGGGAUAGCUUGCUAUUCAGAUGGCGACCGGCGCACGGGUGAGUAACGCGUAUCCAACCUUCCUGCCAGUAGGGAACAGCCCGGCGAAAGUCGGAUUAAUGCCCUAUGUUCUUCAAUGCGGACAUCUAAGUUGAAGGAAAGAUUCAUCGCUGGCAGACGGGGAUGCGUCCGAUUAGCUUGCCGGCGGGGUAACGGCCCACCGGGGCGACGAUCGGUAGGGGUUCUGAGAGGAAGGUCCCCCACACUGGUACUGAGACACGGACCAGACUCCUACGGGAGGCAGCAGUGAGGAAUAUUGGUCAAUGGGCGUAAGCCUGAACCAGCCAAGUAGCGUGCCAGGACGACGGCCCUACGGGUUGUAAACUGCUUUUAUGCGGGGAUAAAGUGCGGCACGUGUGCCGCUUUGCAGGUACCGCAUGAAUAAGGACCGGCUAAUUCCGUGCCAGCAGCGGC
Molecule: ribosomal RNA, 520 nt
Filed under: uncultured bacterium
Lineage: Bacteria
Description: bacterial SSU rRNA
Rfam family: Bacterial small subunit ribosomal RNA
Source: RNAcentral